Molecule: ribosomal RNA, 468 nt
Filed under: uncultured bacterium
Lineage: Bacteria
Description: partial 16S ribosomal RNA
Rfam family: Bacterial small subunit ribosomal RNA
Source: RNAcentral
GACGAACGCUGGCGGCGUGCUUAACACAUGCAAGUCGAACGGAAAGGCCCUGCUUUUGUGGGGUGCUCGAGUGGCGAACGGGUGAGUAACACGUGAGUAACCUGCCCUUGACUUUGGGAUAACUUCAGGAAACUGGGGCUAAUACCGGAUAGGAGCUCCUGCUGCAUGGUGGGGGUUGGAAAGUUUCGGCGGUUGGGGCUGGACUCGCGGCUUAUCAGCUUGUUGGGGGGGUAGUGGCUUACCAAGGCUUUGACGGGUAGCCGGCCUGAGAGGGUGACCGGCCACAUUGGGCCUGAGAUAGGGACCAGACUCGUACGGGAGGCAGCAGUGGGGAAUAUUGCACAAUGGGGGGAAGUCUGAUGCAGCAACGCCGCGUGCGGGAUGAAGGCCUUCGGGUUGUAAACCGCUUUCGCCUGUGACGAAGAGUGAGUGACGGUAAUGGGUAAAGAAGCACCGGCUAACUACGUG